CCAGUAAUAUCUCACAGGAGAUAUUCAAAUAAGGAAAAUCCACCACACAACUCUCUCUACAUUUCACAAACCAAAUCACAGAGGGAAGUGCUGCACCCUUGUCUACAGAAUGUUCAAGCAAAAAUCUGCUCACUUCUAGUCACCACGACACGAAUGGCUGGGUCCUGGUAUCUCAAAACACGUAUCUUUACCAUUGAAUCCACCAUAGGCGUGUGUUAUAUAACUUGCACUCAUGAUUAGACAUCAUUCAGUAAACAUCCACUAUGUUCAAUACUGGGCAAGGUGCUUUAUCUGUAUUUUCCCACUGAAGUAAGUAUUAAAUGACACCGCCACCUCCACCCCACCCCAUCAUUUUCCACAAAAGCAAACAGCCUAAUCACUUGCAUUAUGCUCAAAAGCCAGUUCACGGCAGAGCUGAGGAUUUUAGCAAAGUCAGCUUAUUACUGGCAUGUGUCAUCGAGACAUGUCUGUGCCUGCGGGUCAUAAGGACUUGAGAGAGAUGAACCAUUUGGAAUAGAGCUCAUUUCAAGGCAAUGUUUCCAAUGUUUGCGCUUUUUCUAUCCCCCAAAUGCUGAGAGAACUCUAGACGAGCAGUCCAGACGCUAAAUAGAUCAGUCCUCUGCUCUAUAGGGGUAGUGGGAGUCUAUAGUGUGGUCGGUAAGGGAGUGGACUGAUCACCUGAGUUCUGACGGCUUGGGCCAGUGUCACCUCAGGUCACACCAAGCAGAAGGUUCUCAGGAAUAUCAUGCAUGUACCAGAAAGAGAACCGAAAAUCUUGACGCCAGAAAGAAGGGCUUCUGGCCUGUGCAUCUGCCACCUGGAGCAGACCAAAUCCACAUCCUAAGACACAGGAAUCUCAGAGGACCAGGAUAGUCACCAAGUGCCAUGCCGCUGUCUGAGCAUCUCUUCUGAGGAAAAGCACUUGGCUGAGCUCUGCCCCCAUGGAACUGAUGCUGGCAAAACCAAGCGUCUGCCCAGCCAGAAUAACCACCACUUGGUGCUUUGGUGAGAAACCACAGUGAUGGCUGAAGGCUUGAGUAGCAUUUUUUUUUUUUUUUUAGACGGAGUCUCGCUCUGUCACCAGGCUGGAGCGCAGUGGUGCGAUCUCGGCUCACCGCAACCUCCGCCUCCCGGGUUCAAGCAAUUCUCCUGCCUCAGCCUCCCAAGUAGCUAGGACUACAGGCGCAUGCCACUGCGCCCAGCUAAUUUUUGUAUUUUUAGUAGAGACGAUGUUUCACCAUGUUGGCCAGGAUGGUCUCGAUCUCCUGACCUCAUGAUCCACCCACCUCGGCUACCCAAAGUGCCAAAGUGCCAGGAUUACAGGUGUGAGCCACCACGCCCAGCCAGCUUGAGCAGUUUUAAAUGACAAGCAUCCUUAAAAGAAGACCCUCAUUCUGUAUAUACUGGAUGUGAUGCUGUAUGUCAGAAAAUUACACACCAAAUUCCCUAAAACCCAGCAAAGAGAGAAAGAUCAUACUCUGAAGACCAUGUUUUAUUUUAACUGAUUAAAUAAAACUCUAUAUGGAGUAAGCCAA
This 1535-nucleotide long non-coding RNA is filed under the name Homo sapiens (human). Its description in RNAcentral is "HSALNT0327337". The record is from RNAcentral. Lineage: Eukaryota; Metazoa; Chordata; Mammalia; Primates; Hominidae.